AAGAGGAGGAGGAAGCCAGCCCUGCAACUUCAGAGAGCCCAGCUUUCUGAAGUCGGAAGGAAAUGCAAAGACCCUAUUUGUGGCUGCAGGAGAGGAAAAGAAGAGUCCCACAAGGAAACGACCGACAGAUGGCAUAAAUCUGGGACAAAGAGAUGCAGGAAAUUGGGAAAGACCUUGCGAUUAGCGGCAUACUGAUGAAUCCGUCAGUAGAACCCAAGACACUUCUGUCUCCCCACGCGUGUUUUAUCUCCUCAAGGAAGGUUGGCACGGCUAUGACACCCUUAUCUGAGGUUAGGUGACCUUGGUUGUGGCAUCUUUUGUAGUUGGGUUUUUGUAAAUCAGGAUGAAGGAGUCUGUGGCUGCUUUGGGAAAUUGAUGAUAAUUCUUUAUCAGUAAGGUUUCAAGCUGAAAUGUGUUUGUUAAUUUUUGUCCUAACCCCCUGUGGAUUGUGUCUGGGUUAUACAGCUAUGACAGUAUUGGGCACAGCUGGGCCCCUCUUUUCAUGAAGUGGCAGAGAACAUUACUAGAUAAGAAUUAAAGGCGUUGCUGAAGGGACUCCGACACUUGCACACUGGCUUCCCAGCAGGGCAUGGCUGAUGGGAGAACCUCUCCCUGCUUUUGUUGGGUGCAGAAAUGACAGGAACUUACUGUCUUAGUCACAGAAAACACAGCAAGAUCUCCCUGGCUCUGUUCAGUCCGAAGAAAUCCUGGUCCAUAUAGUACAAGUGUCUGUAAGACUAAGCAAGUUGUCACACAGACGAUUUUACAUCUUCAUAGUCCCUGAGUAAAGUCUCUUCUUAGUUGACAAUGACUGUCCCACAUAGAUAAUUUAGAAACAGAGAACUCCGAGUUCUUGCAAUUCUACCCCAAAUGCUGAUUUUGUCUUUUCUGCAUAUGAUAGCUACAGUGUUUUCUUUCUCCUGGUUCUGUGGUGAAAUCUUUUAAUCUGCUUUGUUUGCAUAGAAUGUUCUUUGCUGUAGAGAAUCAGUGUGACCUUUUGAGUACACCUCUUACAUGUAUUGAGCGGUGCCAUGACCAUGUGACAGAUCUGGGGCUGAGGGAGGGUGACAACCAUUUUGACUGAGUUAUUUUCAGUUGAACAGUAAUGAAGGCACACUUUAAAUUAUUUCAUCCCUGUGAUCCAGAUUUGAUUAUCUAGCUAAUAUCACUAGGGACAAUUGAAGCUUUAAUAAUUACACUCAGGGUCUUUAAAAAAAAAAGAAAAUUGUGUUUAGUACAUUCAUUCAUACACAGCCUUGGAGACUUAGCCUCCGAGAGCCUUUCUGACUGCCUGAGAAAUGAUCCUAAGAUUCCACCUUGAGAUCCAGUUCAGCUGAAACUAUUUCAAAUGAAACAAAAGCUCGCUAUAAAAUAUUAUCUCUUUUAGAAGGGUGGAACAGUUCUUAUUUGAAAGUGUAAAAAGCACAGACUGUAGUUGUUUUUUAUUUGUUUUUUUUUCUAAUUAUUAUUAUUCUUUGGGGCCUACCACACAGCUCCCCAAAAAUACACAGAGACUUAUUCUUACUUAUGAAUGCCUGGCCUUAGCUUGACUUGUUUCUAACUAGUCUACAUUUUGCCUCCAAGCGUGUUACCUUUCUUUAUUCUACAUGUCUUUCUUUCUUUCUUAUUCAGUGACUGGUUGUGAGUCUGUGCAUCUGGCUCUGGCAUCCUCCUCUCUUUCUCGUUUUCUCACUCCUUCCUCCUUGUUUCUCUUUUCUUACUUAUUCUCUCUGCUUGGCAGCUUUCCCUAUCCCUCUCCUGCCUAGGUAUUGGUUGUUUAGCUCUUUAUUAGACCAAUCAGGUGUUUUAAGCAGGCAAAGUAACACAGCUUUACAGACCUAAACAAAAGCAAUAUAAAAGAAUGCAACAUGGUCAAGUGGUGGUAGCAUUCGCCUUUAAUCCCAGCACUGGGGAGGCAGAGGCAGGCAGAUCUCUGUGAGUUCGAGGCCAGCCUGUUCUAUGAGAGCUAUUUCAGGACAGGCUCCAAAACUACAGGGAGACCCUGUCUCAAAAAACAACAAAUAAAUAAAUAAAUAAAUAAAUAAAUAAAUAAAUAAAUAAAUAUAAAAAAGUAAAAGGAAAGCAGAACACCUUUGCAUCAUUAAACAAAUGUUCCACAACAUAAACAAACACAACACAUCUGAAACUAAUACUCCCCACAACAGGGCGUUGGCUUCACCUUUUCUUGUGGAAGACAGCUUUAGAACUACUUCCUUGCAAAGAUCUAAGGGCAGGAUUCUUCCUCCCAGUAUGGGCUCCAGUAUGAAACAACACCAUUUUGAAGUUGCCCUGCAUUGUAGGCCAAGGGCUCAUCCUGUGGCCAAAUGCCAUAUAUAUAUCCGUGGAUAUAUAUAUAUAUAUAUAUAUAUAUAUAUAUAUAUAUAUAUCCGUGGAUUUCCAUAUCCUCAGAAACAAAUCAGCUUCCCAGAGAAGCUCAAAUCCUACAACAGCUCUGAUUUACAUAAACGCAGGCUAAGGAUGUGAUACUGUUUAGCAUUCUGGGUAGCAAACGGGGAAGAAGAAACUCAAUUGGAAACCACAGUUCUUUCAAUGUCAGAGUGAGAUACAUCAUCUAUCACAAACACAUGUCAUGACACAUGACCUCUGCCUAGGGGUUCCACACAGUCUGUGCGGUCCAAAAAGAAGUAAAUGAGUUUACUGACUCCCGGCUUUGCUUCAAGAAAGUAAGCAAACUACCGCUCAGGGCCCCACGGAUAACCCUCCCAGUGUUGGAGGACCCGAGACUGGAUGUAAGGUACCAUUGGCUACAUGGUUUCCAUUGGUUUUAAAAGAAAAAGUCCAAAGGCUUACAAAACUCUCGGGUUGGGGGAGAGUAUGCUGUGUGUCUUUUCCUGGGGAGACCUAGCAAACAUCUGUUCAUACCAGAUGGCAGCAAGGCGAACCAGAGACAAUUGUACCCAAGUCUAGCUAGGGGAACUUAGGAAGUUUAUUGGGGUUACUUAUGAGAGUGUGGGUGACUCAAAAGCCGUUGUAUUAUCUGAAGAUAAAAACCCACCCCAGCAUGAGUGAUAGUUCACAAACCUGCAGCCCUGAAGCGCCUUGUACAAUGUGCAGUUGGGUCCAUGCAAGAGAGUCUCUUCCUCCAGUCAAAUGCUGCCUAAAGGCUUGCAUGAGUACAGGAACGGGCGUGCGAAUCAUGGAACUUUCCCCAAGCCUCUGUAAAUCUCUGUAAUGUUCUGUGGAUUAUAUGCCUCCCUUCUCCUCCAGAAGAAAGUGUUUCAGUUGGGAAGAAAUGACUGUUCAACAAAGUCUAACCAUUUUUUCUUUGCUGACAAAGUAAAUUGUGAUCGGAAGGCUUUUCCAUGCUGGCAAGUUUUAUUCCGAUCUGUGGGUGGUUACCCAGGGGUACCCACUGUGUGAUAAGCCAUUAAGCCAUGUAUGUGUGAUUCAUAUAUUUUUCCACAGACUGAUUUGUUUCAGUUAAAAGGUUUAAAACAAAUACCCCCCCCCCCAUGGACAAUAUAAUUCUUUAAAAGUGUUAGAGCAGCAUUUUUUCUUAAUUAAAUAAAUUGAUAACUAUUAAAGAGGAAAACAGGAAACUUGGAUAAAAAGAAGAAAGCUAGAGAAAGGUGAUACUCAUCCCCGGUAUAAAACAAUGGGAACCCUCAGACCUGGGAAUUGCUACCACGCUAUUGGUGAACUGUUAGGUAUUACCUACUAUCCAGCACCUGAGAUGUGAACCCCAGGGUGCACAUCCACCACAGGAAGAGAGUUUCCUUUCAUAACAGCCAAGCACUGGAGACAAGGGGAAACAUCCAUCAGCAGAAAAUAUCAUAAAAUGUCGUUUAUCCAGUUUAGGAAUACCUUAUCACACCAUAAAUCAGUGGGAGUAAAAUAGAAAAGAAAUGCAUAUGCUCCCACAUAUUUUCCUUCAUUUUCUUUCUUUUCUUUCUUUCUUUUUUUUUUUUUAAGAGAGCUGGGAUCUGGUUCAGUAGGUUACAGCACUUGCCACUCAACCAUGAGGACCUGAGUUCUCAUCCCCAGAACUCACAUAAAUCCUGGGUCUAUGCACACAUAUCUGCCAUCUUCUGUAGUUGACUGUUUUUGAUUCUUUACUCUUUUUACUCUUUGGCUCUUUUGGGGGCCCCACCACCUAGCUCCCAAAUAAAUCACUUACACAAAAGCUUAUUCUUACUUAGGAACGCCCAGCCUUAGCUUGACUUAUUUCUAUCCAGCUUUUCUUAACUUAAAUUAUCCCAUCUAUCUUUUGCCUCCGAGCUUUUACCUUUCUCUAUCUCUGGAUAUCUUUUCUUUACUUCUUACUCUGUGGCUGGCUGGGUUGCUGGUGGCUGGUCUUUUCUCAUUCCUUGAUCUCUCUCUCUCCUCAGAUUUCUCCUCCUAUUUAUUCUCUCUGCCUGCCAGCCACACCUGUCCUUUCUCCUGCCUUACAAUGGGCCGUUCAGCUCUUUAUUAGACCAAUCAGGUGUCUUAGACAGAGUUAAACAAAUGCAGCAUAAAAGAAUGCAACACAUCUUUACGUCAUUAAACAAUGUUCCAACAGAAUAAACAAAUGUAACACAGCUUAAGAUAAUAUCCCACAACAAUCUUCACAUUCCUGCGGGAAAAUGGAAGGCACAGACAAGAGAGUCCCAUAGUACAGUGGAAGAACCGUAGAAGACCCUGUUUCAAAGAAGGCAGAAGGUAGUGACAACUGGAGUUGUCCCCUAACUCCUAUGUAGGAGGACUGGCAUGCACGUACAUUUAAACACAUAUAAAUUUUUUAAAAAUUUAAAAGUAUUCUCUACCAAUGCAUACUUAAGUAGUAAAACUAUAAUUCAAAAAGAAAGAAAAAUGUGGUAGGAAGAGCAGUUUAAAAAUAGGCAAGGGUGUCCCUGGGUCAUGGGUGUGGGAGAACUGGCCCUGCCUCUCGCCAGCUGCAGCACUCAGGACAGCAGCCCUGCACCCCUUGGGCAGCACAGUAGAGUUGGUCCUGCUGAAAUGGGUGCAGGUGAGCCGGCCCUGAGGGCACGAGGGCAUGAGGACUGGCUCUGCCCUUUGCUGUCUGAGGUACCAGGUGAGCUGGGGGGCAGUGCUGACCACCUCAGCUACCACCCAGGCCCAGAACCAGGGUUAUGAGUUAGCCCAUCAACACCCACCCCAUCCAUGAUCGUCAGGAACACGUGAAGGGGGAUGAACCUACAGAUCUGCAGGAUCUGCAAUGCACCAGGCAACAACAGGCUAUCCAAGAGGAGUCCCAGGAGGGCCCAAUAUCGGUAGUGUAGCAGAAGCCAGAAGCCCCAAACCGGAUCAAUGACUCAUUGCAAUGAGCGCUUGCAAGUAAAGACGCAUGGACUAAAGAGUACACUGUGUGACUCACUGUGACACGCUACAGCUUCCAUGGCAAGAUGUUUUGCAAGGGCAAAGGGCAGAUAGGAAGGGAUGGGGAGAUGAAAUCCACAAAGAAUCAAUAAAGCAGUUUUAAAAAUA
Long non-coding RNA from Alexandromys fortis (reed vole), 5448 nucleotides. RefSeq lists it as uncharacterized. Lineage: Eukaryota; Metazoa; Chordata; Mammalia; Rodentia; Cricetidae. The transcript has 2 exons. The record is from RefSeq and is a predicted model, not a curated record.